Non-coding RNA from Camelina sativa (false flax), 563 nucleotides. The record is from RefSeq and is a predicted model, not a curated record. Lineage: Eukaryota; Viridiplantae; Streptophyta; Magnoliopsida; Brassicales; Brassicaceae.
UUCAACUUUUUGACAUGCAGUGCAUCUCCUGCUCGCCGCAGCCUCAGCCCUAGAAGUUCCUCCCCACAAAAAGCCUCUCCUUCUAGAGAAGUUUCUCCUGAUAAGCGUAGCUAUGAGAGGUCUCCAUCUCCUCGUCGCAGCCUCAGCCCAAGAAGCCCUUCUUUGCAAAAGGCCUCUCCGUCUAAAGAGAUUUCUCCUGAAAGGCGUAGCAAUGAGAGAUCCCCAUCUCCUGGUAGCCCUUCUCCCCGGGGCAAAGCUGCUGCUGCUUCUCGAAGCCAAUCUCCUUAUGCUUCGGAAUGAUAGCAGCCACUUGUGAAGAAGACAUGAUGUAUGAAAAACAUGUUUGCUUGUAUUGAUGAUGUUUCAUCGUCAAGCACUGGAACGUCUACCCUCUGUAGUAUUACUUGCUUUCUGUAGGUGCCCUUAAACUACUGACUGUAUCUUUGUUUCUUGUUAUCUUUCGGGUUUAGUUAUGUGCAAGGAUUAUUAAGUGUCUGAACAGGCCUUUUAGACUGGUUUGUUUAAAUCUUCUUCGGUUUGGAAUUCACAGCAUGCUAACUCUA